Mycena epipterygia is the source of this 91-nucleotide non-coding RNA. The record is from the annotation of a GenBank genome assembly. NCBI's taxonomy places the organism in Eukaryota, Fungi, Basidiomycota, Agaricomycetes, Agaricales, Mycenaceae.
GACUCGGUAGCAGAUGGUCCGCAUCUGCACUUGCUAGCCAGCAUAUUUCACUGUAAAGCAGAAGGUGCCUGUUCGAAUCAGGCUCGAGUCA